This is a long non-coding RNA of Argentina anserina (silverweed cinquefoil), 570 nucleotides long. RefSeq lists it as uncharacterized. The transcript has 2 exons. The record is from RefSeq and is a predicted model, not a curated record. Lineage: Eukaryota; Viridiplantae; Streptophyta; Magnoliopsida; Rosales; Rosaceae.
AGAGACGUGUGAAGCAAAAACAUAUAUGCUUUUGUGAAUGGAGGUGAGCUGAGAGGUUUAAGAUCUUUGGCCAAAGAGUUAAGAUCUUUGUCGGCAAAAGAUGAGAAAUUCACCGAGUACCAAAAGGUUUUAAUGGACGAAAACAUGAAAAGUAAGUAAUUGGACAGUUCUCCAUGGCAGUUCCCUCUACUAUACCAAGGAGUGCAGAAUGUUCUAUUCAGCUGGCGUAGAAUAAUCGGUUGGAUAGAACAUGGUGGAAGAGCUGCUGAUUAUCUUCUUUUUCUGCAUGAAAGCGCUACAACCAUGUGCCUUCCAUCCGGAUGGGAAACUGCUGGGAAGGACAUUGUAGGAGCAACAAUGUACACAUGCACAGUUUGGGUAGAAAUAGGUCUUAAUGUGUGGUUCAAAAUCGUCAUAGAUCUCCAAGAUGUAAUAUGUUUCUGUCUUUUCUUAUAUACUGUGGUUUAGCUACCUUAGAACUACUUGUAAUUUCUUUGUAGCAUGUGUGAAACUGUAAAUUUCUAGAACAAGAAUAAGAGUUGCACUAAUGAAGUAUUGUGAAUUGGGAUU